UUAUUUUUACUUAUAGAUGAAAUACAGUGAUUUGAUUUUAACCAAAUGUGUUAUAUUCCAGUAACAGUUGUUGAACAUUUAUGAUAAAAUUGAUUUUCAUUUCUUGGUAGUGUUGUAUGUAAACAUAAAGAUACAAUCACUUUCAUUUGUUUGAUCUUUUUGUUUGUGGGGUUGGAAGUUCACUUAGAUUUGCCUUUGUCCGUAUGUCAGUCCAUUCAUCUGUCCUUUGAUCUGUCCAUCUGAUUUCUGUUGUGCAUAUCUCAAAAAGUAUUUGACUUAGAGUCAUCAAACCUCAAAGGAUUGUUAUUCAGCAUGUGAAGUUGUGCACCAUUUGUUAUGCCCCCCUUCGAAGAAAUUUUUUGCAAAUGUUGGUCGGUCGGACGGUCGGUCAGUCUGCCUAGACCAAUCGGUUUCUGGAUGAUCACUCAAGAACGCUUGGACCUAGGAUCAUGAAAGUUGAUAGGGAGGUUGGUCAUGACCAGCUGAUGACCCCUAUUGAUUUUGAGGUCAGUAGGUCAAAGGUCAAGGACAUUGAUCAGGAACAGUCAAUCGGUUUCUGGAGGAUAACUCAAGAAUGCUUGGGCCUAGGAUCAUGAAAGUUGAUAGGGGGAUUGGUCAUGACCAGCAGAUGACCCCUACUGAUUUGAGGUCAGUAGAUCAAAGGUCAAUGUCGCAGUGACCUGGAACAAUUAAACCGUUUCCAGAUGAUAACUCAAGAAUGCUUGGGCCUAGGAUCAUGAAAGUUGAUAGGGAGGUUGAUCAUGACCAGCAGGUGACCCCUUCUGAAUUUGAAAUCAGUGGGUCAAAGGUCAAGGUCACAGUUAAAUCAUUUCUGGGUGAUAACUGAAGAACCCCUGUGCCUAAAAUUACGAAACUAAAUAGGAAGGUUGAUCAUGACAAGCAGAUGACCCUUAUUGAUUUUGAGGUCAAAGAUCAAGGUCACAGUGACCGGGAACAGUUAAAUCGUUUCUGGAUGAUAACUUAAGUAGGCUUGGGCCUAGGAUCACGAAACUUAUACGGAGGUUGAUCAUGACCAGUAGAUGAUCCCUAUUGAUUUUGAGGUCAGUAGGUCAAAGGUCAAGGUCAUGUUGACUGAAUGCAUCAAGGGGUGCAUUUUGUGUUCUACAAGCUCUUGUUUAAAUUGGCAUUUCACACAGCUGUAACUGAGUUAUCAAUAUGGCCCUUCGUAAAAAUUAAGCAUACAGUGACAGCGCUGGGGCAAGUGUGAGUAUCCUUUGGACACAUAUCUAGCUCAUUAUUAUGAUAUUGGUAGUUAUUGUUUAACAACAAAGCUAAAUUAUCAAGUUUUCACUAUAUGUCUUAGUUAGAGAAAUGAAUUUAAAAUAAACCAAUUUAAAAUAAAUAGUACUAUGACAUCAGUAAUAUUUGUAGGUGACUUAUUACUGUGAUUUCACAGGAAAUAAAACCCAGUCAUUUUAUCAUCAGUAAUUCAUGUCUACAUGAAGUAGUAGUUUUGACCAAAACAACACAGGAAUACGCAGCUGUAUGUAGGAUUGUUGAUGUAGAGAUAACAUAAUUAUGCUUUUUUAAUCCCCCGCCGUGGCGGAGGGAUUAUAGGAAUAUUCUGCGUCCGUCCUUCCGUCCGUAACAAAAUCGUGUCCAGUCCAUAUCUCCUAAACCCCUUGAAGGAUUUUCAUGAAACUUGGGUCAAAUGAUCACCUCAUCAAGACGAUGUGCAGAACCCAUGAGUCAGCCUUGUCGGUUCAAGGUCAAGGUCACAACUCAAGGUCAAAGGUUUGAGCCUGCCAUUUUGUGUCCGCUCUAUAUCUCCUAAACCCCUUGAAGGAAUUUUAUAAAACUUGGGUCAAAUGAUCACCUCAUCAAGACGAUGUGCAGAACCCAUGAGUCAGCCAUGCUGGCUCAAGGUCAAGGUCACAACUCAAGGUCAAAGGUUUGAGCCUUCCAUUUUGUGUCCGCUCUAUAUCUCUUAAAACUUGGGUCAAAUGAUCACCUCAUCAAGACGAUGUGCAGAACCCAUGAGUCAGCCAUGCCGGCUCAAGGUCAAGGUCACAACUCAAGGUCAAAGGUUUGAGCCUUCCAUUUUGUGUCCGCUCUAUAUCUCUUAAACCCCUUGAAGGAAUUUUAUAAAUCUUGGGUCAAAUGAUCACCUCAUCAAGACAAUGUGCAGAACCCAUGAGUCAGUCAUGCCAGCUCAAGGUCAAGGUCACAACUUAGGGUCAAAGGUUUGAGCCAUCCAUUUUGUGUCUGCUCUAUAUCUCCUAAACCCAUUGAAGGAUUUUUAUCAAACUUGGGUCAAACAAUCACCUCAUCAAGGCAAUGUGCAGAACUUAUGAGUCAGCCAUGUCUACUCAAGGUCAAGGUCACAACUGAAGGUCAAAGGUUUGAGCCUUCCCUUGAAGGAUUUUCAUCAAACUUGGGUCAAAUGAUCACCUCAUCAAGAACUCAUGAGUCAGCCAUGUCAACUCAAGGUCAAGGUCACAACUGAAGGUCAAAGGUUUCAGCUCUGUAUCUCCUAAACCCCUUGAAGGAUUUUCAUGAAACUUUGGUCAAAUGAUCACCUCAUCAAGACGUUGUGCAGAAUUCAUGAGUCAGCCAUGUCAGUUCAAGGUCAAGGUCACAGCUAAAAUCAAAGGUUUACCCUUUCACUAUCCAUAGCAGUGACGGGGGAUUUAGCUGUCUUUCAGACUGCCUUGUCAUGUUUUAACUACUAUGAUUUGUCAGUACAUUCUGGAAGGAUAACCAUGAUACUGUUUUGUAUACCAAAUAAAGAAAGAUGGAGCAUGAAUAUGAUACUUGUACUUUGUGAAGUUUCAACUCUCUUAGGCCAAUUUUUUUUUAUUAUUAGUUUUACCGAUUUUUCUGGAAAAAAGAUAGGGUCGGCGGUGGGAAAAAAAAAAGUUGGCAGAUAAAUGUUAAAGACAAUCGUUAUCGUUUUAUUUUUCUCACAUUUAAUUUUCUUUGAUUUACAGUACAUCCAAAGUGAAAAGUCCCAAUGGAUACCCAGCGUGUCCAGACACGGUGUUCGCCAACCACGCUGUUUCGCCGUGAAAUCGCAGCGAAUCGUAGUGUUCAAGAUUGUUUUAAAAUAUGCUAUUUUCCAUUUUAUUUUAUCCAAAAUGAAAAGAAAUACAUAUAUAUAUAUAUGUUAACAUAAAAUAACAUCGUAAUUUUUUAGUUUCGAUGUUCGUCUGCUAGUUGAUUUUGGAGACUUUUCGUAUUUUGCAGGUAGAGCACUUGACAAGAAGCGUUUACGAUGAGACUGUGCUUAAUAAACAAUAAAACCUGUGAAUUCAGUUGUUUUCUUUAGAGUUCACUUUUGCAGUUUUGUAUGUUCGUUGCAAACUUCUGUUGUUGUACAUUUUAGUACGAUAACGUUAUUUAACUCUUCGUUCACAGUUUGCAUGGAAUUUGAUAAUUAUUUAAGAGGGCAAGAGGAAAGCUGUACACGAGCCUUGGAAGCAAGAACUUACAAUUUAAUGUUUGUUUUGUUAAUAACAUAAUUUUAUUAGCAUUAAAUGUCAUAAUAUAUCUAUAGCAUCAUAUAAUACAAAGACCUGUGUAUUGAUAGUGCUAACAGAUUAUUUUGUGUUCAUCAUAUAAUUCAUAUAUGACAAAAAUUGUUUAUUCUCCAUUCUGUAUUAUUUUCGGCAAAAUUAAGAUAUUUGCAUAUUUGUAAAAAACAUA
This is a long non-coding RNA of Mercenaria mercenaria, 3666 nucleotides long. RefSeq lists it as uncharacterized. The transcript is spliced from 2 exons. NCBI's taxonomy places the organism in Eukaryota, Metazoa, Mollusca, Bivalvia, Venerida, Veneridae. The record is from RefSeq and is a predicted model, not a curated record.